UACGGGGGGAGCAAGCGUUGUUCGGAUUUACUGGGCGUAAAGGGCGCGUAGGCGGCCAGCACAAGUCAGUUGUGAAAUCUCCGAGCUUAACUCGGAAAGGUCAACUGAUACUGUGCGGCUAGAGUGCAGAAGGGGCAACUGGAAUUCUUGGUGUAGCGGUGAAAUGCGUAGAUAUCAAGAGGAACACCCGUGGCGAAGGCGGCUUCCUGGGGGCCAUCCUGACACUGAGAAGCGAAAGCUAGGGGAGCGAACGGG
RNAcentral lists this ribosomal RNA (255 nucleotides) under uncultured bacterium. RNAcentral's name for it is "partial 16S ribosomal RNA". It matches the Rfam family "Bacterial small subunit ribosomal RNA", at positions 524 to 776 of the family's 1533-position model. The record is from RNAcentral.